Long non-coding RNA from Caretta caretta (loggerhead turtle), 2129 nucleotides. RefSeq lists it as uncharacterized. NCBI's taxonomy places the organism in Eukaryota, Metazoa, Chordata, Testudines, Cheloniidae. The record is from RefSeq and is a predicted model, not a curated record.
AUAAGCACUGCAGCUGCAUAAGGAAUGUGGGGCUCUAAAGGAUAUGCUUUGUGUAAAGCAGUGUUAUCUUCCCCCCUUCCUUUCCCAGCUACAUAAAUGAGCUCGGGGUCAUGGCCCCUUCCUCCCUUCCCUGUGAGCUGCUGAUCAAGAGAAUUUGUGCCUGCAAUUACUGCAAAGAAACAGAUCUUCAAGAAAGAAAAAUCUACAAUGGCAGCAGGCCGUAAAAGAGAGACCCAGUUUGACAACAUUUAAAUGUAGUUCCUCUACCCUUGGGUAAGGCAGGCAUGCGUGCAAAAUGCAAACAGUGCAACAAAGAAAUGCAAGGCCUGGUUGCCUGAAUAAAACAACAUCAUGAGAACUGUUCCUUCUCAGAAGGAAGCUGUGUUUAAGAUGAUGAAAGGAACAUGUCUGAACAUUCAGGAUCUUCAGGAGAAUCCAUCCUCAACACACAGGAUUCUGAAGACUAUCCACCUUCAAGAUCACCAUCAUUUUCUAUAGUUUCAGAGUUAUCUGCCCAUGAUAGUGUUUCAGUCACAUCAUGUAUGUCACAUAGCCACAGUAUAUCACCUGUAGCAAAAAGAAAAAAAAACCUCCAUCAUCCGGAAACAACCACAGAUAAGUUUAUGAUAAGAACGAGCAGAUUAAAAAAAGAGGUAAUCGAUGAAAAAACUGCCUGGUUUGUUUAUGAAACAAACUCUCCUUUCUUUCUGACUGAGAACCCACACUUCAUUAACUUGGUUCAGUCAUUAAGACCAGGAUAUAGUCCACCCAACAGAGCAGAUAUUGCAGGCAAAUUGCUGGAUAAAAUGUAUGAAAGAGAAGUUGAGCAGUGUGCAAAAGGUAUAGAGGGUAAAAUUGUUAACCUGAGUCUUGAUGGGUGGAGCAAUGAUCCUGUCGUAUGUGCUUGUGUGACAACAGAAGAAGGGAAUGCCUUCCUUACAGAAACAAUUGAUAUAUCAGGAAAUGCACACACAGCAAAACAGAAUGUCUAGUACGCAGCUUGGUCACAGACAAUGCUGCAAAUGUAUCCAAAAUGAGAAGAAGUUAUUUAGAAGAGAGUCCCAAACGAAUAACAUACAGUUGCAGUGUUCAUUUGACGCGCCUCCUAGCCAAAGACAUCAGUGUUCCAGAAAUAAAGGCUAACGUUGUUGAAAUUGCAAAAUACUCCCGUAACAAUCACUUUGCAGCAGCUGCUCUGAAAAAAGUGGGAGGAACCAAACUAACUCUCCCAUAAGACGUGUGAUGGAACUCAGUAGUGGUCUGUUUUGAGCACUAUAUCAAGAACUGGCCUACCCUGAUGACAGUUUGUGAACAAAAUCAUGAAAAAAUAGAUGGCACUGUCAUAGCCAAAGUCCUCAACAUUGGGCUUAAGAGAAAUGUUGAACACAUGCUGAGUACCGUGAAGCCUAUUUCGUAGCCCUGAACAAAGCGCAGGGAAAUAGCUGUUUUAUUACUGACUCUGUUGAAAUUUGGAAAGAACUGAGUGAGAUCCUAAAAAGAGAAAUAUGCAAUGACAGAGUUAAAUUACAAACAUUAAAAAAAUGAAUGGGACAAGCACUAUCUCCAGCUCAUGUUCUUGUAAAUAUUCUCAAUAUUCGGUGCCAGGGUCAAACCUUAAAUGCUGAAGAGGAGGAGUUGGCUAUGACAUGGACAUCCAGCGAUCAUCCCUCCAUAAUGUGAACUAUAAUGAACUUCAGGAUGAACCAUAAGGGUGAACCAUUCAAGAAAUCCAGAAUACAUAACAUUGUUGUUUUAGUUAAACAAAACAAUUUAAAUGUCUGUCUGAUGAUGUUCUCCUCCUAAUACAGCGUGGCAAGGAAAUCCUCCAAAUAUUAAUGAUUAACCUGUUGAAUUGGAGAUAGUUCACCUCCUAAUGACUUCACAACUACCUGCUUCAAUUACCUUUUGUAAAUGAAAUAAUCAAACAAUCAUUCAUUUUCUGAUAUAGCUGUAAAACUAAUCUGAAAAGUUUUCAAAAUAAAUCACUUUAAAAACGUAUAGUGUAACCUUCUAAAAAUGAAACUACAACUUGGAGAGAGAUGUAGAAGCAUAUGUAUUAAGGUUAUAACAACCAACAAGAAUAAAUGCACUUUUAUGUAGAAAUCCAUGAUUAAAUUGAAUCUUCCUGA